Molecule: long non-coding RNA, 1648 nt
Organism: Symphalangus syndactylus (siamang)
Lineage: Eukaryota; Metazoa; Chordata; Mammalia; Primates; Hylobatidae
Source: RefSeq, a predicted model, not a curated record
UGUCAGUGGGAAGAUACAAUCAAGAAUAACUUGGAAUACACACACACCCACUAAGUCAACAUUUUGUUUGUUUGGUAAAGUUUAUUUCCUUCUUAUUGUGCUCAAAUGCAUUAAAUUGAAAACUGCAGUGCUCAUUUAUAAAUACACCAAAUGGAGUUAUUUUAUAAAAAGACCAAGUCUAAUGUGCAUAAAGAAUUGCAACCUGAAAUUAUGAAACAACGCCCUGGACAUGUCUUUGGGAAGAUAACAGGCCCUGCACUUCACCUGCUUCACCUAUGAAUUCACCUUUAUAAUGUAGUGAAAAAAGUCACCUUUCCAAAACAAACAAAACAGGUGCCUUCUAGGAAAACAGACACAGGCAUAGAUGAAGACAGAAGCAAAUCCCGGUCCUUAGUUCACAUUAGGAAAGAAGAGAUAGAUGCUGACAGUGAAAUAAUACUCAGCAAUUAGAAGCAAUUGACUAGUUGUUCACUAAUCAGCAUGGACAGAUUGUGAAAACAUACUGCGGAGUGAAAGAAAAGAAAGUAAGAAGCAACUCCCAGGCUCACUGUACUGAGAGUUGAGAAUAAGAAAGAAUGAAUUUCUGUCACAUUCAGGAAAAAAUAUAAGCGGUGAACUGAGUGGUGCUUAUAAGCCUUUUCCCAUCCCCCAGGCAAUAUGGAGUUUGUACAGCAAGGACUUGGACCAGAAGCGAAGAACUCUGCACAUCAGUCUGAAUCUGGGUGCUUGCUUUAUUGGUUAACAAAGACAGAAGACUUGAUUCUGUAAAGAUCUGUACUCAUGGCUUCUUCCUGUGUUAAUGACAUACAAGGAAUAAGACACUGCCUAAGCCCUCAAGGAACUAUGGCCUACAGCAGAGGAACACUUCCAAAUAAGCCGUUGCAACUAAAUAAGACAAUUGCUGUAAUGACAUGUAUGCCAAGUGCAGUAGAGAGAGAAGAGGCACCUAAAUCUGCCUUAGGGGUGUCAAGUGCAAUGUCACAGAGAAUGCAGCAUUUGAGCUGAGAGUUUAAAAUGUAAGAAGUUGGUUAGAAUCCCAAGAGAGGAGCAUCCCAGGCAGUGCAUAGAGUCCAUAUAUUGGAUGAAAAUAUCGGGGAACAAGGUUUGUCCUGGAAUCCAUACAUAGUUCAAUAAUGUAGGAUUAAACAUAGAAGUUAAUCCUGUUUUAGUCCAUUUUCUGUUGCUAUAGUGGAAUCCCCAAGGCUGGGUAAUUUGUAAACAAAAAGAAAUUUCUCACACUUCUGGAAGCUGGAAGCCCAAUAUUAAGCUGCAGACACCUGCUGAAGGCCUUCUGGCCACAUCGUCAUGGCAGAGGCAGGAGGACAAGAGCGUGAGAGAGCAAGCGUCAAACUCAGCCACAAGCCCAUUAAAACGAGCACGAGUCCAUUUAUGAAAGUGGAAUCUUCAUGGCGUAAACACCUCCCUAAUUUAGGCCACACCUCCAAACACUAUUGCACUGGGGACUAUGUUCCAAACAUGUCUGUUUUAGGGGACAUAUUCAGACCACAGCCGCAAAGGAAGGAGAGAGGAGGACUAUGUGGUUGGAUCAGAAAACAAGACUUAGAUGUUGAAGAGCUAUUUUAUGUCCCAUCAAAGAGUUUACAUUUUUAUCCUGUAGGUGAAUGGAAAUCCACUGACACAUUUUGAG